GAUGAACGUUGGCGGUGUGCCUAAUACAUGCAAGUCGAACGGAGACUGUAGCAAUACUGUCUUAGUGGCGAACGGGUGAGUAACGCGUUGGUGAUCUGCCUCGAAGUGUGGAAUAACCUCCCGAAAGGGAAGCUAAUACCGCAUAGUCUCUCAAGGUUUAGAAAAUUGAGAGUAAAGGAUUUAUUCGCUUCGAGAGGAGCCUGCGUCCCAUCAGCUAGUUGGUAGGGUAACGGCCUACCAAGGCAAUGACGGGUAGGGGACCUGAGAGGGUGGCCCCCCACAAUGGAACUGAAACACGGUCCAUACACCUACGGGUGGCAGCAGUAGGGAAUAUUAGAAAUGGGCGGAAGCCUGAUCUAGCAACACCGCGUGUGCGAUGAAGGCCUUCGGGUCGUAAAGCACUUUUGGUAGGGAAUAGGAAGGAAGGUAACCUCCAGAAUAAGUCUCGGCUAACUACGUG
RNAcentral lists this ribosomal RNA (460 nucleotides) under uncultured bacterium. Its description in RNAcentral is "bacterial SSU rRNA". It matches the Rfam family "Bacterial small subunit ribosomal RNA", at positions 28 to 507 of the family's 1533-position model. The record is from RNAcentral.